AAAAUGGGCUCAGUCUUCGAAACCUAAAGGAUGUGAUGUUUUCCUGUCUUAUGUUGUUUUAAGAAAAAGGAACUGAGUUCCUAGUAUAGCUCCCGAGGGGAGUGGAAUCCUCUGUCGCUCAGUGCAAGCCUUUCACAUCACGUGAGGAUCAAGGGCUCAAUUGGUUGUCGUGAGAACAAAAAUGGUGACAAGCGUAUCAAGAAAAUACUGAUCUGGUCUUUAAAAAAAAAAAAGCUGAAAGUCUCUCCCCUCCCCCUGCACACACUCCCCCAACCUCCUCCCCCCGCCCCCCCGCAGUGGGCGAAGCUACAAGUUAUGAAUGUGAAACAUUUCUCGGAGAUCUAGGAUCUCCGAAGUUCGGAAGGAGCGAAAUGUAAUGAGCACAAGAGCAAAGCAGAUGUUUUAAAGAAACACUUUAUAAACCUUUCCUCAACUUAUCUCCAAUUUGUCGGCUUUCCCAAGGGGCCAGGGACGGGGACGCCUGGGGGAGGGAGAAGGGUAUCUCCGAGCUACUUGGAUUUUAGGGACCCCCACUUCAUGUAUUAAACAAAGAAAAACCUUUUGCUUGCUCCCCAG
This 576-nucleotide long non-coding RNA is filed under the name Homo sapiens (human). RNAcentral describes it as "HSALNT0329232". The record is from RNAcentral. Lineage: Eukaryota; Metazoa; Chordata; Mammalia; Primates; Hominidae.